RNAcentral lists this long non-coding RNA (761 nucleotides) under Equus caballus (horse). RNAcentral's name for it is "lncRNA (ENSECAG00000059370.1)". The record is from RNAcentral. Lineage: Eukaryota; Metazoa; Chordata; Mammalia; Perissodactyla; Equidae.
GAGCAAUAACACAGCCUCCUGGCGCGCCGCUCUGGGCCGCAAUCUAAAGUCUGUCCAGGUCCAAGAUUGGAGCAAUCGAAACACGGCGUUCCAUUCUUGGGCUCCCCAUCCUGGACAUUGCUACCCUCAGGACCAUCAUUAAGGAACAUGGAACUGGAUGUGUGUAUAUGUGUAUCCAAGAAACAAGAAUUGCAAAGAUUUUAACGAUCACCAACAGUAUUGGGACUGCUAAUUGAAGAGGAACUGACAUCAAGCCAAAAAAAAAUUAAAGUCGGUCACCAAUAGGAGUUGAGGCUACUGCCUCUUUUUGUCCAAAUCCAACUGGAAGUCAGAAGGUAUCUGAGGAAAAGACACACAGGAGGCAAUGGUACACAGUGGAACGUGUAACCAGGCCACUUUGAACUUGAAGUCUAGUGAAGUUCUCCAGUGACAAAUACUUGACUAAUGUGGAAAUAUAGUCUCAUUUACGCCAAAGACAGAAAGAAAAAUGUCAGACAGUCUCUUCCUAAAGGCCACAGAUGCAACUCCACCUCUUUGUAGCCUGUGAUAAAUAAACAUGUUUGUAUGAGCACGCAUUGGUAUAACAAAGCUUUAGUUCUGGAGCUCUCUCUAGGGCAUCUCUGCAUCCGUGGCUGCCCAGGCAUCCUGCUACUUUGCAUCCAGGAAACCGCAGGCUCUUCCUUGGAGCUGAAAGCCCUAGUCUUCUUCAGAGGGAAAAAUACGUGUAUUGAAUCCAAAAAUGCGUUUAUCACUCUAACAAG